GCAUUAAUGGGGUAGUGGUAACCUGGGUCGUUGCCAUCGAGCUUGUCUCGACCCGCCGGGGGUUCGAUUCCCCCUUAAUGCA
RNAcentral lists this transfer RNA (82 nucleotides) under Schizophyllum amplum. Its description in RNAcentral is "Auriculariopsis ampla tRNA-Gly". It matches the Rfam family "tRNA". Rfam says of the family: Transfer RNA (tRNA) molecules are approximately 80 nucleotides in length. The record is from RNAcentral. Lineage: Eukaryota; Fungi; Basidiomycota; Agaricomycetes; Agaricales; Schizophyllaceae.